GAACCUGCGGAAGGAUCAUUAUGAAUGCU
This 29-nucleotide ribosomal RNA is filed under the name Tuber melanosporum (Perigord truffle). Its description in RNAcentral is "partial 18S ribosomal RNA". The record is from RNAcentral. Lineage: Eukaryota; Fungi; Ascomycota; Pezizomycetes; Pezizales; Tuberaceae.